CAGGAAGUAGUUUAAUGAGAAUGUCAGCUUUGGGUGUUGAUGGUGAGGCGUAUUGUCUUCUUCUUGA
This 67-nucleotide transfer RNA is filed under the name Lasiorhinus krefftii (northern hairy-nosed wombat). Its description in RNAcentral is "tRNA-Pro". Lineage: Eukaryota; Metazoa; Chordata; Mammalia; Diprotodontia; Vombatidae. The record is from RNAcentral.